This 449-nucleotide long non-coding RNA is filed under the name Cyanistes caeruleus (blue tit). RNAcentral's name for it is "lncRNA (ENSCCEG00000013180.1)". The record is from RNAcentral. Lineage: Eukaryota; Metazoa; Chordata; Aves; Passeriformes; Paridae.
AGACUCUGGUGCUGCAGGGAUGUGAGGAAGAGUUCUGGCUGUUAGAGGAGGCUCCUGAUAUGGACAGUGGGAUUUAGGCACAUAUUUCCUGCCUAAGGGAGCACCUUCACCUACAUACUACCAUAUGUAAUCAUCACACAACUGGUCUUAUGGAUUAGUGGGAAGGAGCCUGUCAUGACCACCUCAGAGGACACAGUGCAAUAUGCUUUUCUGCCUUUGUGUAAAUUUUUCUCUCCAACAUCAGAGUUGUCCUGAAUAGAAAAGGCUCACGUGAGCUCCUAAGAUCCAUUUUUUUAAACUAUGGUGAAGAAAAGUCCCCAUGAAAUCUGAAUUUGCCGACCUAGAAUUCUUAAUUUCAUGUGGACUGAGAAAAGGCAGCUAUUUUAAACCGGGAUUGUGUGAGAUUUUAGUGUAGUCUUCCAGCCUGCCUCUAUGGUAAGCUUUUACAG